GCUGGGUGUGGUGGCGUGCGCCUGUAAUCCCAGCUACUCAGGAAGCUGAGGCAGGAGAAUCGCUUGAACCCGGGAGGUGGAGGUUGCAGUGAGCCGAGAUUGCACCAUUGCACUUCAGCCUGGGCGACAGAGCGAGACUCUGUCUCCA
This 148-nucleotide non-coding RNA is filed under the name Pan troglodytes (chimpanzee). The record is from Rfam by way of RNAcentral. Lineage: Eukaryota; Metazoa; Chordata; Mammalia; Primates; Hominidae.